This 468-nucleotide ribosomal RNA is filed under the name uncultured bacterium. RNAcentral describes it as "partial 16S ribosomal RNA". It matches the Rfam family "Bacterial small subunit ribosomal RNA", at positions 28 to 507 of the family's 1533-position model. The record is from RNAcentral.
GAUGAACGCUGGCGGCGUGCUUAACACAUGCAAGUCGAACGGAAAGGCCCUGCUUUUGUGGGGUGCUCGAGUGGCGAACGGGUGAGUAACACGUGAGUAACAUGCACUUGACUUUGUGAUAACUUCAGGAAAAUGGGGAUAAUACAGGAUAGGAGCUACUGCUGCAUGGUGGGGGUUGGAAAGAUACGGCGGUUGGGGAUGGACUAGCGGCUUAUGAGCUUGAUGGUGGGGUAGUGGCUUACCAAGGCUUUGACGGGUAGCCCGCCUGAGAGGUUGACCGGCCACAAUGGUACUGAGAGACGGCCCAGACUCCUACGGGAGGCAGCAGUGGAGAACAUUGCACAAUAGGCGCAAGCCUGAGACAGCAACGCCGCGUGCGUGAUGACGUCCUACGGGUUGUAAACCGCUGUCUCCGGUGACGAAGCGUGAUUGACGGUAAUUGGUAAAGAAGCACCGGCUAACUACGUG